This 92-nucleotide ribosomal RNA is filed under the name uncultured alpha proteobacterium EF100_102A06. The record is from RNAcentral. Lineage: Bacteria; Pseudomonadati; Pseudomonadota; Alphaproteobacteria.
CACCCGAUCCCAUCCCGAACUCGGCCNGUGAAAACCCUCUGCGCCGAUGGUACUGCGUCUUAAGGCGUGGGAGAGUAGGUCACCGCCAGGCC